Molecule: long non-coding RNA, 740 nt
Organism: Bombus impatiens (common eastern bumble bee)
Lineage: Eukaryota; Metazoa; Arthropoda; Insecta; Hymenoptera; Apidae
Exons: 3
Source: RefSeq, a predicted model, not a curated record
CUGAUAUUUCAUUGAUAAGAUCCUUCAAACGGACAAACAGUCUUUAUCCUAACAGUCCCUGAAUCUACCACCUACUACGGGAAAAUACGGGAAAUCUGCUUUUCUCACAAACGACGCUUCCCGCUAGCAACUUUCUAGCAACAAUUAACAGGAACCCUCACUUUCCGAACGAAGGCUUUCCUCGACGAAUCCGAUGAUCUCGUGUCCUUAGACACAUCCCAUCAUAGUUUUCCUCUGCAGCAUCAUCGUGACGGAAAGUCAUUCUCUCGUGACGUCUCAUUAGCGAGUUACAUAGCGUCUUUACACUCGGUGGAUAUUCUACGUUUUAACAAAGAGUUAGUUCAGUAAUACUUGUAACGUAGACAAGGAAGUUGGGUACAACUUGGACUUUGAAGGAAGGCGCAUUUUGUUAUCCCGUUGACCGCGGAUUCGUUGUUGGGCCUGGGAUCAUUGUCAUUAGCAUCUCGAGUAUCUAAUUACCAGAGUUACUUGUCAAAUUCUGUAAUAAUCAUAUUUGCACUAGUAAAUAUCUUCUCUAUUGCAUAACAACAAUGUUUAAUCCAAAUGAAGAUUCGCUUUACGCCCCUGAUCCUAAUCAUAAUGUGAACCCGACAUAUAUAUCUUAUAUAUACCUUAUAUUUUACAUCUAUCUUAUAUCUAUAGGAUUUUGGUAACCAAAGGGAGGCUAUAUAGGGUUUUAUCGACAAAGAAUCAGUAUCUGUUGCACCGAAUUCAUCAAU